UAUAUACUUCCUCCGUCCCAAAAUUCUUGUCUUAAAUUUGUCUAGAUAUGAAUGUAUCUAGUCAUGUUUUAGUAUUUUGAUACAUUUAUUUCUAAACAAACUUAAGACAAGAAUUUUGGGACGGAGAGAGUACUAC
This is a non-coding RNA of Hordeum vulgare subsp. vulgare (domesticated barley), 136 nucleotides long. The record is from Rfam. Lineage: Eukaryota; Viridiplantae; Streptophyta; Magnoliopsida; Poales; Poaceae.